GGAAGAACAGGAGAGAUGGCCAUAUGGCCAUGAAAAUGAAUGGAAAUCUGAAACUGACUGGGGUGGGGAUGUGGAGUGUAUCUCCAGGAUGAGACAGAGAUCUGGGAAAACAGAGGUGUCCAAGAAUCAAUGGGGGAGUGAAUUUAGCUGUGAUUCACUGCACUGGGGAUAUGAAACUUGAGGAAGACACCUCUUGUAGUGAGUCAGGAACCUCAGUGGAACAACAACCAACCCACAAAACUUUCCACCCCAAAUUUAUCCUGUCUACAGGAAAUGCAGGCAUGGGGGAUGGCCAACCAAUAACUGACCCAACUUGAGACCCAUUCCAUGGGCAAGCACCAAUCCCUGACACUUAAUGAUAUUUGCUCUGUUAUGCUUGGAGACAGGAGCCUAGAACACUUGUCUUCCAAGAUGCACCAUCCAGCAUCUGACUCAGACAGAUGAAGACACCCACAGCCAAACUUUGGAUGGAGCUUGGGGAUUCUUAUGGAAGAAUAGGCAGAAGGAUUGCAGGUCCUGUAUGGGGUAGAAACUCCUCAGGAAGACAAGUGAAGUCAACUAACCCGGACUCUUGGGACUCUCAGAGACUGAAGUACCAACCAAAAUCACACAUGGUGUAGACGUAGGCUUCCAGCACAUAUGUAUCAGAUGUGAAGCUUGGUAUUCAUGUGGGUCCUGAACAACUGGAGUAGGGGCUAUCCCAAAAGCUGUUGCUAGUAUGUGGGAUAUGUUCUUCUAGCUGGGCUGCCUUGUCUCACCCCCAGUGGGAGAGGAUGUGACUAGGCUGGCAGAGACUUGAAGUGCCAGGGUGGGGAGAAAACCAAGGGAGGCCUGAUUUGCUCAGAGGAGAAGUGAAAGAACACGUGAUGAAGGAUGAUUCUUUGCUAACAAACACGCAUGUACUGGUCCACUUUACAUUGUGUAAUUGAACUCCAUUUGUUGGAACUCCAUAGUGAGAAGAGCACCAAAAACUUUUGGUGGUGUGCUGUGACUUCUUGCUGCUUCUGGGUACUUCGGCUGAUUGGCAGAGUGAUGUCAGCUGAGACACACGCAUGUGCUGAGGAAAGACAUGUGGUGGGACAAGACCUGUAGAGAACAGGUCAUGUAACUGCUGCUGAUUCAACUUUGCUAUCCCAACUCUACUGAACUGGACUGCUGGCGUAUCCAGGGAGAGUUUGUGAGUGGAUUGAGCUGCUGCUGACCUGUGAUUUGAACUGCUGAUUUCCAAACAGCACAGAUGAACUGAGGGCUAUCUCAGACUCUGUUGCCUACCAUUGGAUCCCCUUUGCCUACUAGACUCACUGGUUGGGCUUUAGUGGAAGAGGAUAUGCUUGAUGUCCCAGAGCAGGUAUUUACCCAAGAGGGGCUUCCCUUUCUCUGAGGGGAGGGAGAGGGGAUUAUGGGAGAGAGAUUUGUGAGGGUGGGACUGGGAGGAAAGGUGGAAGAGGUCUGCGCUUGGGAUGUAAUGUGGAAAGCCGUGAUAGCAUUUGCCAUUACAAGAUGGCGCUGGCUUCCGCUGCACCAGCCCGACUUCCUUUCAGGAAACUAGCUGUGUGCGCAUGUGCAAGAGUGUGUUCUCGCCAAGUCUUUGCCCACCCCGGGGCGUGCCAGUGAGAUCAUGGGUAAGCGACCAAUCAGGCGUGGAUGAGCCAUGCUAGGGUUUUAUAAGCAGUGCCUUUCUGGGCCCCGGGUCUCUCCUCUUCAAGAUGCAAUAAAUGCUUUGCUGCAGAAG
Non-coding RNA from Rattus norvegicus (Norway rat), 1732 nucleotides. Lineage: Eukaryota; Metazoa; Chordata; Mammalia; Rodentia; Muridae. The record is from RefSeq and is a predicted model, not a curated record.